Molecule: ribosomal RNA, 855 nt
Filed under: Beltraniella pandanicola
Lineage: Eukaryota; Fungi; Ascomycota; Sordariomycetes; Amphisphaeriales; Beltraniaceae
Description: partial 28S large subunit ribosomal RNA
Rfam family: Eukaryotic large subunit ribosomal RNA
Source: RNAcentral
ACCAACAGGGAUUCCCCUAGUAACGGCGAGUGAAGCGGGAACAGCUCAAAUUUGAAAUCUGGCCUUCGGGUCCGAAUUGUAAUUUGCAGAGGAUGCUUUUGGUUAGGUACUUUCCGAGUUCCCUGGAACGGGACGCCUUAGAGGGUGAGAGCCCCGUACGGUUGGAUACCGAGCCUUUGUAAAGCUCCUUCGACGAGUCGAGUAGUUUGGGAAUGCUGCUCUAAAUGGGAGGUAAAUUUCUUCUAAAGCUAAAUACCGGCCAGAGACCGAUAGCGCACAAGUAGAGUGAUCGAAAGAUGAAAAGCACUUUGAAAAGAGGGUUAAAUAGCACGUGAAAUUGUUGAAAGGGAAGCGUUUAUGACCAGACUUUUUCCAGGCGGAUCAUCCGGUGUUCUCACCGGUGCACUUCGUCUGGUUGAGGCCAGCAUCGGUUUUCGUAGAGGGAUAAAAGCAGUAGGAAUGUGAUUCCUCCGGGAAUGUUAUAGCCUAUUGUAUAAUACCUUUAUGGGGACCGAGGUUCGCGCUCUGCAAGGAUGCUGGCGUAAUGGUCAUCAACGACCCGUCUUGAAACACGGACCAAGGAGUCGAACAUUUGUGCGAGUGUUUGGGUGUUAAACCCUCACGCGUAAUGAAAGUGAACGGAGGUGAGAGCCCUUACGGGUGCAUCAUCGACCGAUCCUGAUGUUUUCGGAUGGAUUUGAGUAAGAGCAUAACUGUUCGGACCCGAAAGAUGGUGAACUAUGCGUGGAUAGGGUGAAGCCAGAGGAAACUCUGGUGGAGGCUCGCAGCGGUUCUGACGUGCAAAUCGAUCGUCAAAUCUGCGCAUGGGGGCGAAAGACUAAUCGAACCAUCUAG